This 1144-nucleotide unclassified non-coding RNA is filed under the name Hevea brasiliensis (rubber tree). Lineage: Eukaryota; Viridiplantae; Streptophyta; Magnoliopsida; Malpighiales; Euphorbiaceae. The record is from RNAcentral.
GGGAAAUGGGAAUGGAGAAGAAAAUAGUAGCUGUUUUGUUGAUAGUUGGCGUGAUGUUGGGUCAUUUGCAAAGCGGUGAGCCUUCUGAUGCCGAUUGCUUUGAUGGUUGCAUCACAGCUUGCGUACAACCAAACCUAAGGCUUAUGCGACGCUGUGAGAUCAAGUGCGGAAUUAAAUGCAAUUCUGGUAAUCUCUCCUUCCACUUUGGUUUCGGUUAUCCUGCAAUUUUUUUUGUUUAUUAUUUGUUUUAGAAUUAUCCACACCUGCAGUGGAUCAGAUGAAUUGAUUAAUUAAUACGGUUAGUUUAAUAAAAUUUAUAAAUAAUAGACUUGAAUUCUCUGAGUUACGCUCACUAAUUAAUUGCAUAACUUGAUUUAUUGCGGUUUCCUUUAAAGGAUUUUAGCCAAUGAAACAUAUACCGCAUUGUGCAGCUUCUCAAAUGGAAGAUCCUUUGGGUUGAGGUAUUCUUCACCGCAUGGGAAAAGUUGGGCUCAUUAUCUAUUGUAACAGUUAGAAAUAACGGCCUAAUAGGCUUCUUCACUUGUACGCCUUAAUUUCCUGGAAACUUUUCAUGUUUAAUUUAAAUAAAAAAAUAUAAAUAAGGGCUCGUGGCGUCAAUCUAUGCUCAAUGUGACAAAUACAAGCUAAAAAUCUUUGGCUUCAUGUUUGUCUUUAAACUGUCCUUGUAAAUAAAGAGGAAGUGUUGGUCGGCUUUGACUUAAGCUUGGGAAUCCUUUGCUGUUUAGUAAUGCUUCUGAAAGAGUUCCUGCGUCGAUUGCCAAUGCAUAUGAUAUGUGAAAGUCCACCAAGGGAGUUGCUCUGAACUCUUCAUCUUGGCCGAUUUCCAACAGGUUGGGCUGGUCAUUUGGGUCAAUUGAGGUCGCCGUGGUGCCUUUUGAGCCGACUGGCUUCCUUUUUCAAGCUCCGUUGCUCUUGCCCCCUAUUCUUAUUUAUGUUGGCCUCUCAAACUCUUCUUCAAUGAUUUUCAUUCUAUAAAGGUCAAUUGUGCCUUUGGCUUGAGGAUGUACUUUUCAUUUAGUUGUUUGAGUUGUUUGUGUUAGUACAUGUACACUGCAGCUAUUAUGUUGAUUGUAGGGGUAAUUACUUAAUUUCAUGAAAAUUAAAUUUUUUUUUUAUAAAUAAA